CCUACGGGAGGCAGCAGUGAGGAAUAUUGGUCAAUGGCCGGAAAGCUGAACCAGCCAUGCCGCGUGAAGGUCAGUGCCCUAUGGGCGUUAAACUUCUUUUGUGCGGGAGCAAUAAUGGUCACGUGUGGCCAGACGAGAGUACCGUACGAAUAAGCAUCGGCUAACUCCAUGCCAGCAGCCGCGGUAAUACGGGGGAUGCAAGCGUUAUCCGGAUUUAUUGGGUUUAAAGGGUGCGUAGGCUGUGAGGUAAGUCAGCGGGGAAAUGCCCCCGCUCAACGGGGUGAAGUGCCAUUGAUACUGCCUUGCUGGAAUGCGGAUGCCGUGGGAGGAAUGUGUGGUGUAGCGGUGAAAUGCAUAGAUAUCACACAGAACACCGAUUGCGAAGGCAUCUCACGAAUCCGCGAUUGACGCUGAUGCACGAAAGCGUGGGUAUCAAACAGGAUUAGAUACCCGGGUAGUC
Molecule: ribosomal RNA, 460 nt
Filed under: uncultured bacterium
Lineage: Bacteria
Description: partial 16S ribosomal RNA
Rfam family: Bacterial small subunit ribosomal RNA
Source: RNAcentral